Molecule: ribosomal RNA, 402 nt
Filed under: uncultured organism
Description: bacterial SSU rRNA
Rfam family: Bacterial small subunit ribosomal RNA
Source: RNAcentral
UGCCUAACACAUGCAAGUCGAACGCGAAAGGGGGCAACCCCCGGUAGCGUGGCAGACGGGUGAGUAACACGUGGGUAACCUACCCGGAGGUGGGGGAUAACCCUUCGAAAGGAGGGCUAAUACCGCAUGACACCGUGGGGACCUCGGUCCUUGCGAUCAAAGCUGGCCUCUGUUUACAAGCUAGCGCCACCGGAUGGGCCCGCGCCCCAUUAGCUAGUUGGUGAGGUAACGGCUCACCAAGGCGACGAUGGGUAGCCGGCCUGAGAGGGCGAUCGGCCACACUGGAACUGCGACACGGUCCAGACUCCUACGGGAGGCAGCAGUGAGGAAUCUUGCGCAAUGGGCGAAAGCCUGACGCAGCGCCGCCGCGUGGAGGAUGAAGGUCUUCGGAUUGUAAACUCC